This 473-nucleotide ribosomal RNA is filed under the name uncultured bacterium. Its description in RNAcentral is "bacterial SSU rRNA". It matches the Rfam family "Bacterial small subunit ribosomal RNA", at positions 355 to 825 of the family's 1533-position model. The record is from RNAcentral.
UGAGGAAUUGUUCACAAUGGGCGCAAGCCUGAUGACGCAACGCCGCGUGGGGGAUGAAGGUCUUCGGAUCGUAAACCCCUGUCGAAUGGGACGAAAGACUCGCGAGUGAAUACUUCGCGAGAGUGACGGUACCGUUAAAGGAAGCCACGGCUAACUCUGUGCCAGCAGCCGCGGUAAUACAGAGGUGGCAAGCGUUGUUCGGAAUUACUGGGCGUAAAGGGCGCGUAGGCGGCCCUCUAAGUCAGACGUGAAAUCCCCCGGCUUAACCUGGGAACUGCGUCUGAUACUGGAGGGCUUGAGUAUGGGAGAGGGAUGUAGAAUUCCAGGUGUAGCGGUGAAAUGCGUAGAUAUCUGGAGGAAUACCGGUGGCGAAGGCGGCAUCCUGGACCAUUACUGACGCUGAGGCGCGAAAGCUAGGGGAGCAAACGGGAUUAGAUACCCCCGUAGUCCCUGAGCGGGCUGGCAAGGCGCAU